UACGUAGGGGGCAAGCGUUGUCCGGAUUUAUUGGGCGUAAAGAGCGUGUAGGCGGCCAGGUAGGUCAGCUGUGAAAACUCGAGGCUUAACCUCGAGACGCCGGCUGAAACCCUCUGGCUAGAGUCCGGAAGAGGAGAGCGGAAUUCCUGGUGUAGCGGUGAAAUGCGCAGAUAUCAUGUGGAACACCGGUGGCGAAGGCGGUGGUCUGGGCCGGAACUGACGCUGUAGAGCGAAAGCGUGGGGAGCGAACAGG
Molecule: ribosomal RNA, 253 nt
Filed under: uncultured bacterium
Lineage: Bacteria
Description: partial 16S ribosomal RNA
Rfam family: Bacterial small subunit ribosomal RNA
Source: RNAcentral